GACGAACGCUGGCGGCGUGCUUAACACAUGCAAGUCGAACGGAAAGGCCCUGCUUUUGUGGGGUGCUCGAGUGGCGAACGGGUGAGUAACACGUGAGUAACCUGCCCUUGACUUUGGGAUAACUUCAGGAAACUGGGGCUAAUACCGGAUAGGAGCUCCUGCUGCAUGGUGGGGGUUGGAAAGUUUCGGCGGUUGGGGAUGGACUCGCGGCUUAUCAGCUUGUUGGUGGGGUAGUGGCUUACCAAGGCUUUGACGGGUAGCCGGCCUGAGAGGGUGACCGGCCACAUUGGGACUGAGAGACGGCCCAGACUCCUACGGGAGGCAGCAGUGGAGAAUAUUGCACAAUGGGCGGAAGCGUGAUGCAGCAACGCCGGGUGCGGGAUGACGGCCUUUGGGUUGUAAACCGCUUUCGCCUGUGACGAAGCGUGAGUGACGGUAAUGGGUAAAGAAGCACCGGCUAACUACGUG
Molecule: ribosomal RNA, 468 nt
Filed under: uncultured bacterium
Lineage: Bacteria
Description: partial 16S ribosomal RNA
Rfam family: Bacterial small subunit ribosomal RNA
Source: RNAcentral